This 4997-nucleotide ribosomal RNA is filed under the name Triticum aestivum (bread wheat). Its description in RNAcentral is "partial small subunit ribosomal RNA". Lineage: Eukaryota; Viridiplantae; Streptophyta; Magnoliopsida; Poales; Poaceae. The record is from RNAcentral.
UGGGCGCAAAGUACUGCACCCGGAUGAGUCUAUAUUCUCCCCUGGCCUGGUGGCCUUCCCCUUCCCCUUUCUUCCUCCUCUGACUCUCCUCCCCCUCCUUUCCCCACCCGUACCACCGCCGAGCCGACUCCAACUCCGGCCGCCCCGCCUCACAAGCACCACCAUGGAAGGUCCAAGCUAGUUGACAUAACAUGACUGCAGAGAGUUAUUAUAUACCGUUACAUAUCUUAAAAGAGAUUACAAAUGGAUUCUCAGCGGACUCAAGAAUAGGAAGGGGUGGAUACGGAGACGUUUACAAGGGAGUUUACAAUAGGAGAGAGGUUGCUGUAAAGUUGCUUCAUGUUGAUACGUUGCUAGGACUUGAUGACCAACGAUAUAUCAAUGAAGUUGGUAACCUUUUGAAGGUUAAGCAUCCAAAUAUCAUACAGUUACUUGGUUAUUGUUAUGAAAUACAGAAUGAACUAAUUGAACACAAUGGUGCAAAUCAAUUUAGCCAACACAUAUAUAGAGUCCUCUGCUUUGAGUACUUGCAGGGUGGAAGCCUAGACAAGCAUCUUUGUGGUAUGAGAACUUAACUUCAACAAGAUGAUUUUCUUAUGCGUUUAAGAAAAACUGAAUUCGUAAACUUUCAUUUGUGUAAUAUUCUCUUUGUCAGCACAAUCUUUUGCACCUAAUUGGAGCACACGUUACAAUAUUAUAAAGGGGAUUUGUGAAGGUUUAAAUUUCCUUCAUGAAUGCAAACCACAAAUUUGUCAUCUUGAUUUGAAGCCUGCCAAUAUAUUACUAGACAGUUCCAUGGAGCCUAAAGUGGCGGAUUUUGGAUUGUCAAGGCUAUUCACUCCAUCACACACACAUAUCACAGAAAGAAUCAUAGGAACCCGGAAGUACAUGCCACCAGAAUUCCUAAAUGAAGGCAAAAUCUCACCUAAGAAUGACGUCUUCGGUUUCGGUGUUGUAAUGAUCGAGAUAAUGGCAGGACCUGCAGGUUACUCCAAUUCUUUUGAAAUGCAUGAUGUGGCACAAUUAAUGCAGCAGGUACUUACCAAUUGUACAAUGAUUGAAGCCACAUCGAAUAACCGAUCAGAGGAAUUACGUCAGGUGAAAACGUGUAUUGAAUUAGCAAUGCGUUGUGUGGAUUCUGAAAGAGACAAUAGGCCCUCUGUAGCAGAUAUCCUAGAUACCCUGAAUAAGACAGAAACUCAUAUUCCCAAGAGACAGCAUUGCCCUCAAAUCAGUGUUCCCGGGCUGGAGAGGGCCAAGAAGAGGAAGAAGACGGGAGGGAACUUGAAGGGGAUUGCAGAAGAACGUACCCAUUUCACUGUCAUGCAAGAAAAUGCCCCUAGUAUGCUUGAAAACAGGGAUCACCGGGAAACAUCAGCAAAGAUAGGAGCAGAAGUCGUAGGGAGGGACAUGGAAAAACAGGAAAUUAUGGCUCAUUUAUCUGGGAGUACCACACAAGAGAUCACCUUCCUUCCGAUAUAUGGUAUUGGAGGCAUUGGGAAGACAACCAUGGCACAAUUUGUUUUCAAUGAUUCCCAGUUCAAAGAGUACUCUCGGGUUUGGACCUAUGUGUCCCAGACAUUUGAUUUAAAGAAAAUUGGGAAUUCUAUAAUAACACAACUAUCCGGUAGCAAGAGUAUGCAUACUGACCUUCAGAUGAUAGAAAAUAGCCUGCAAAAGCUCCUUUCUGGUAAGAGGGUUCUAAUCAUCUUAGAUGACCUGUGGGAGAGGGAAUCACCUCAGUUAAAAAAGUUGGAGAGUAUGCUAAAUCUGGGUGAAGGGGGCAAAUUGGUGGUGGUAGUAACCACACGAGAAGAAUCUAUUGCACAUAAAAUUCACACUGGCAGAGUGAAGCCAUAUAAGCUAGCUCCCUUAACAGAUGAAAUUUGUUGGACUAUCAUAAAAAAUAAAAGUUCAUUUGAAAACAGAGCUGAAAGAGCGCAGUUAGAGUUGAUCGGAAAGGAAAUUGCAAAGAAGUGUGGAGGUGUGGCUUUAGCAGCCCAAUCUAUUGGGUAUGUGUUGUAUGCUAUGGAAUUUGAUGAAUGGGUGUCGGUGAACAACAGUGAGAUCUGGGACGUGCUUGCCUCAGGAGAAUCAACUCAUCAUGUUCAUGCAUCCUUGCUGCUAAGCUAUCACAUUAUGGAUAAAUACUUGAAGUUAUGCUUUGCUUAUUGUGCAACCUUUCCAAAAGGUCACAAGAUAGCUAAAGAAGAUCUAGCUCACCAAUGGGUUGCUCUUGGACUUGUUGAGCCAUCAAGGACAUUCUCUAAUAUACAAACCAGUCAUAAAUAUAUUCGUCAUCUUUUUGGCAUGUGCUUCCUUGAACAUCCAAGGUCACAAUGGAGUUAUAUGGAUGUCGAUAAUGGAUUCUUGAUCAUGCAUGACCUGGUGCACGAUCUCGGAAGAUCAUUUCUGGCUGAUAAAAUUAUUAUAGAGAGUCCUGCCUGCCAAUAUGCAUGGCUGACAGAUCAUAGAAAGCUAUUUAAGUCAUCAAUGAAUCCACUCGCCAAGCUAUUUAUGUCAUCAAUGAAUCCACUCGCCAAGCUAUUUAAGUCAUCAAUGACUCCACUCGCCAAGAUAAGGGCACUGCAUUUUCUCGACCGUGCUUACUUGCAGCUUAAUGGUGAAGCUUUUUCACCGGCUAAAUGCCUCCUUGUCUUGGAUUUAAGCAGAUGUUGUGCACAAAAGCUGCCUGAUUCUAUUGGUCAACUGAAACAGUUGAGGUAUCUCGAUGCUUCAUGGAACCCCGAGUUUACUGAAUCUUCUGAAUACCAAGCACCACCGGAGUCUUUAUUGAUACCGAAAGCCCUGGGUUCCCUUAAUGAACUCCAAUAUUUGAAUUUAUCAGGUCGCGGAAGACCCAUAGGGCUGCCAGAGGUCAUCAGCGAACUCACGGACCUCCGGUAUUUGAAUAUAUCACAUUGCAUGGGUUAUUAUUUAUUGGACAUCCCAUCAGCAAACCAAAGUUUCAUUGACUGUAUCGGUACCCUUCCUAAUCUAGAGCAGCUGGACAUGUCUUCUAAUAACUAUGGUUUCUGUGUACCUGAAAGUUUCAGCAGACUCAAGAAGCUGAACCUCUCCGACUGCCAGUACAUUGCUAGCCUUCCAGAAAAUGUGGGGAAAGUGGAUAUUCCAAUGCUUUUUGGCUUGUUGUUCCCGCAAAAGGGAGGGUUUCCUGUGCGUGUGGUUGAUAGUGAAUCUAGCAGCAGUCUUGUCUGGCUUAAGCAUACAAAUCCUGAUGUGUUGGGUAUCACUGAUACUUGAAAAUGUGAGGUCCGUGGAAGAGGCACGCAGUAUAAGAUUGAUAGAAAAACAGAGAAUUAAAGAAUUGUCGUUGCAGUGGAGCGGAGGUGUGAGUUCUGUGGAACACAUGGAGUUGCUAACAGAGCUAGUGCCACCAAGCUCUGUAAAGAAUUUCAAGAUAACACGUUACAAGGAUGUCAUGUUUCCACACUGGUUUAUGCAUAUAAACAAAGAUCUUCCUAAUCUUGUGAGUUUGGAGAUGUGGGGUGUUCUUUGCCGCAGCCUACCAACAACACUCGUCCCACUACCCAACCUAAGAAAGAUUGUUCUCAGCAACAUGCAUAACCUGGAAGAGUUCAACACAGCAUGCUCUAUAGGCGAGGAUGGUGCAAAUGAGCUCACGUUGGCUAAACUUGAGUAUCUGGAAAUAGACAAUUGCCCCAAGUUGAGGAUUAAACCGUGUCCGCCUAGAUCAGUGUACUGGCGUAUAUCUCGUGCUGACAAUGUGCUAUUGUCAUGGGGAGAGUGUGCCUCAAGCACAGCUGCUUCCUCCUCAUCUUCUUCUGUGAGUAAGCUAGAAGUUGAAUACUCUGAGUUGCCUUUGCACCAGUGGAGAUUGCUUCACCACCUACAUGGUCUUAGUGAUUUAACUAUCUCCGAUUGCAAUGAUCUGACCAUCUCACCACAGAUCACCCGAGCGUUCACCUCCCUCGAAUCACUGGAAUUUCGUAGCCUGGAAAAAUUACCAGAGUGGUUAGGGGAGCUCACAUCUCUUCGGCAGCUUAACUUAAUAUUCAUCCACCACCUACAGGAAUUGCAUGAGAACACGAGGCAGCUUAGACAGCUGCAAUCGCUCCGCCUGCACUUUUGCAAUACGUCGACAUCACCACCGCAAUGGUUAGGAGAACUCACCUUGCUCAAGACACUUAAAAUCACUUAUUGCAAGGGCAUCAUUUCUUUACCGGAGCGCAUACUCACCAACCUCCAAGAACUUUAUAUUUCGAACUGCCCUGAAUUAUAUAGAUGGUGUAAGUUAGAAGAGAACCGGAUGAAACUAGCUCACAUCAAGGAAAAGUCUAUCUAGGAACAUUCGGCUCGAGGCAUUUGGGAAACACUUUAAUGAGAUGAUAAGUAUGAUUUAGCAUCUCCUGUAUGCGAUCCAGAUGGAUAUUGACGAUCGAGGAUGGUGGUCCUUGGAGCUCUUCUGACGCCCCAGGUGGAGACCUUCACUUAGAAUUACAGCGCUUUGAUGAUCUUCAAUUGCAUGUUUUGUUGCCUUUUAUUUCCAUGUGUUUUUAUUUACUUCGGGCACCGAUUGUUUGAAUACUUUACUUUAUUUCCCCUUUCGUAUUGCGUGGCUAAAUAACUUUUGCGUUGUGGGGCUAAAUCACCCUCUAAUAAUUUCAUGAUUGUGUGCAUCACGAGGAAUGUGGUAGCACCCAAACAGGUUGUAGCAAUAUAACUGUUCUUUACAUACUAUGCUUUGGCGGCGCCGCUGUUGGGGCAGCCUCCAUGUUUUGCGAUUAGCAGCAAAUUCAGUGCAUAUAGGUGUCCCUCCAGCUAAGAUGGGCAUAGGUUUCAAGUCCAUUGUUCUGUCCCGGACCAUGAGGUUGCUAUCAUCGAUCUUCCUCCAUCAAGAGGAGGCCAAGAGGGUGAAUGCCGAGAUACCGUGUUUUAGAUCUGUGUGUCUUGCCCUUGCUGAAACACGAAUAAAUGUCAGAGAUAGGUAUAGCCAUUUGUUUGACUUGAUCAGC